UACGAAGGGGGCUAGCGUUGCUCGGAUUUACUGGGCGUAAAGGGCGCGUAGGCGGAUGCUUAAGUCAGAGGUGAAAGCCCAGGGCUCAACCUUGGAACUGCCUUUGAUACUGGGCAUCUUGAGUAUGGGAGAGGUGAGUGGAACUCCGAGUGUAGAGGUGAAAUUCGUAGAUAUUCGGAAGAACACCAGUGGCGAAGGCGACUCACUGGCCCAUCACUGACGCUGAGGCGCGAAAGCGUGGGGAG
Molecule: ribosomal RNA, 245 nt
Filed under: uncultured bacterium
Lineage: Bacteria
Description: partial 16S ribosomal RNA
Rfam family: Bacterial small subunit ribosomal RNA
Source: RNAcentral